This 591-nucleotide ribosomal RNA is filed under the name uncultured bacterium. RNAcentral describes it as "bacterial SSU rRNA". It matches the Rfam family "Bacterial small subunit ribosomal RNA", at positions 338 to 946 of the family's 1533-position model. The record is from RNAcentral.
CCUACGGGAGGCAGCAGUGGGGAAUCUUGCGCAAUGGGCGAAAGCCUGACGCAGCAACGCCGCGUGCGGGAAGAAGGCUUUCGGGCUGUAAACCGCUUUCAGCAGGAACGAAAAUGACGGUACCUGCAGAAGAAGGAGCGGCCAACUAUGUGCCAGCAGCCGCGGUGAUACAUAGGCUUCAAGCGUUGUCCGGAUUUAUUGGGCGUAAAGAGUUCGUAGGCGGUCGAGUAAGUCGGGUGUGAAAAUUCUGGGCUCAACCCAGAGACGCCACCCGAUACUGCUUGACUUGAGUUCGAUAGGGGAGUGGGGAAUUCCUAGUGUAGCGGUGAAAUGCGCAGAUAUUAGGAGGAACACCGGUGGCGAAGGCGCCACUCUGGAUCGAUACUGACGCUGAGGAACGAAAGCAUGGGUAGCAAACAGGAUUAGAUACCCUGGUAGUCCAUGCCGUAAACGGUGGGCACUAGGUGUGGGAUUCUAUUAACGAAUUCCGCGCCGUCGCUAACGCAUUAAGUGCCCCGCCUGGGGAGUCGGUCGCAAGCUAAAACUCAAAGGAUUGACGGCNGAGAGNGCGACGCGACGACGAGGGAGAGG